Molecule: ribosomal RNA, 484 nt
Filed under: uncultured bacterium
Lineage: Bacteria
Description: bacterial SSU rRNA
Rfam family: Bacterial small subunit ribosomal RNA
Source: RNAcentral
AUUGAACGCUGGCGGAAUGCUUUACACAUGCAAGUCGAGCGGCAGCGCGGGGGCAACCCUGGCGGCGAGCGGCGAACGGGUGAGUAACAUAUCGGAACGUACCCCGUCGUGGGGGAUAACUACCCGAAAGGGUAGCUAAUACCGCAUACGACCUGAGGGUGAAAGCGGGGGACCGAAAGGCCUCGCGCGAUUGGAGCGGCCGAUGGCAGAUUAGGUAGUUGGUGGGGUAAAGGCUCACCAAGCCUUCGAUCUGUAGCUGGUCUGAGAGGACGACCAGCCACACUGGGACUGAGACACGGCCCAGACUCCUACGGGAGGCAGCAGUGGGGAAUUUUGGACAAUGGGCGAAAGCCUGAUCCAGCCAUUCCGCGUGCAGGAUGAAGGCCCUCGGGUUGUAAACUGCUUUUAUACGGAACGAAACGGCCUUUUCUAAUACAGAGGGCUAAUGACGGUACCGUAAGAAUAAGCACCGGCUAACUACGUG